CCUACGGGAGGCUGCAGUGAGGAAUAUUGGUCAAUGGCCGGAAGGCUGAACCAGCCAAGCCGCGUGAAGGACGAAGGUGCCAAGCAUUGUAAACUUCUUUUGUCAAGGGACAAAAUCAGGCUCGAGAGCCUGACCGAGGGUACUUGAAGAAAAAGCAUCGGCUAACUCCGUGCCAGCAGCCGCGGUAAUACGGAGGAUGCGAGCGUUAUCCGGAUUUAUUGGGUUUAAAGGGUGCGUAGGCGGGCUGUUAAGUCAGCGGUAAAAGCCCGGGGCUCAACCCCGGCGAGCCGUUGAAACUGGCGGUCUUGAGAGGGCGAGAGGUAUGCGGAAUGCGCAGUGUAGCGGUGAAAUGCUUAGAUAUUGCGCAGAACUCCGAUUGCGAAGGCAGCAUACCGGCGGCGAUCUGACGCUGAGGCACGAAAGCGUGGGUAUCAAACAGGAUUAGAUACCCCAGUAGUC
Molecule: ribosomal RNA, 459 nt
Filed under: uncultured bacterium
Lineage: Bacteria
Description: partial 16S ribosomal RNA
Rfam family: Bacterial small subunit ribosomal RNA
Source: RNAcentral